This 240-nucleotide long non-coding RNA is filed under the name Sorghum bicolor (sorghum). Its description in RNAcentral is "long non-coding RNA (SBIC_LNC001066)". The record is from RNAcentral. Lineage: Eukaryota; Viridiplantae; Streptophyta; Magnoliopsida; Poales; Poaceae.
CAUUUCAUACAAUAUGCAAUAUGUAUUUGAAAUUUAAAAUAAUAUAAAAAUAAUUUAUAGGUGUGAAAUAUCAUUAUACAAAUAAUAUAUAAACAAUAUAAUUGUGUUACAAAUAAAGAAUAUAGGAAAAAUUAUGUUAAAAUAUUAUUAUAUUAUAAUAUCAAUAUGCAAUUAAAAGACAGUUACCAAAAAUAUAGAAAACAAAAAUAAUAAAAAAAUUACAAAAAUCUUUGUACAGGC